AAGAGGAAUGGAUAACGCUUUGGACUUCCAAAUCAAAGGUUGUGGGUUUGAAUCCCACCUGGUAUG
RNAcentral lists this transfer RNA (66 nucleotides) under Trichonephila clavata. RNAcentral describes it as "tRNA-Gly". It matches the Rfam family "tRNA". From Rfam's summary of the family: Transfer RNA (tRNA) molecules are approximately 80 nucleotides in length. Their secondary structure includes four short double-helical elements and three loops (D, anti-codon, and T loops). The record is from RNAcentral. Lineage: Eukaryota; Metazoa; Arthropoda; Arachnida; Araneae; Nephilidae.